GAUUUCUGGUUUGACGCGCCUGGCCCGGUGGGGUUACCUGCUGAGUGCCGGUGCGCGUCUACCAUCCUUCUAGAAAACAGCCUUGCCCUUCACUGGGUUGAGGUUGCGAUCUAGAUCUUUUACUUUGAAAAAAUUAGAGUGUUUAAAGCAGGCUUUUUGCUAUGAAUACAUUAGCAUGGAAUAAUAAUUUAGGACUUUGGCCCUAUUUUGUUGGUUUCUAGGACUGAAGUAAUGAUUGAUAGGGAUAGUUGGGGGUGCUCGAAUUCAGCGGCCAGAGGUGAAAUUCUUGGAUUCGCUGAAGACGAACUCAUGCGAAAGCAUU
RNAcentral lists this ribosomal RNA (322 nucleotides) under uncultured Kraken. RNAcentral describes it as "SSU rRNA". The stretch from base 104 to 322 matches the Rfam family "Eukaryotic small subunit ribosomal RNA", at positions 736 to 955 of the family's 1831-position model. Lineage: Eukaryota; Cercozoa. The record is from RNAcentral.